GCAGUUGGAAAUCGUAGGCCUCCUCGUUCACACCAGCCCGGUUGAUAAAUCAACCCGGGUGGGGCUUGUUUUUUAAAACCACGUUUAAUACAUGACAUGAGCCAGCUUAAUCGCGUUUACAUGAGCCAAUUACGUCAGCUUAAGCUAACCCGAACUUCGUUUACCAUAUCAAAUGUUGCAUUUACCAUAUCAAAUAUUGCAUUGCGAGUAUUAGAAUUUCUGGAGACCACAACGCAAGGAAAAGCAUUAUUUUCACGAUAAAUAUCUUUAAUUUAGUCAUUUGAACAUAUUGGGGGAACGUUGAAUUUUGUCGCAAGACAUUUAAAAUGACAUUCGAUUUUCGUUUCAUUUGAAUGUGUCUACAUUUAUGUACCCGCGGGUUGGCAUAAUUUUCACGUCGUUACACCUCGGUGCCAAUCCGGGUCUCGAGAAGGGUGCCCCGAGUUGGAGAAGUGUGAAAGGGUUGACCCGGCUAUCGUGUAAACGCUAAUAUAAAUUUAUUAGUAGACGCGUUGACCAGGAUUGGCAGGCCAACCCGAGUUGAUAGACAACCCGGACUCGUGUAAACGGGGCCUUAUAAUUCGCUAAACUAGUUCGCCCUAACAAAUGCUUUCUUAGUUGAAAAAUUAUAGCAGAGCUGCACAGUUUGUUAUGCAGCCAAUGCUAUAAUUCUCACAUAUUCUCGAACGACAAUUUGGGAAAUAGAGACCGUUCAUUAUUUACAUCUGUUACCAAAGAUUACAGGAACUGAAAACAGCAUAACAGUUUUCCAUCCUUUUUUAACAGUGCUUUAUCAUUUUUACCCAACUAUCCAGUAUAUUACUGCACCAACACUAUCCUGUAAAUAUUCUACAGGGUGUCCCCAAAAAUGUACUAGCUAUGUUCCAGAAUUUUUUACACAGCUAAUUAUUCGAAAAUUUAAAAAAUUGUAGCAAUGAAUAUGAAAUAUACAGUAUAUAUCUAUAUGUUUUGUCAUCUAGUUGAAUCUACAAUCCACCAAUUAUAAAUGAAAAAAUAACACAAAAGUACAGUAGGUCAACUUUUUAUAGUAUAUAGGCAGCUGGCAGCUCAAGCUGCGACUGUAUUCUAGACCUGGAAUAUUCUUGAGGUUUCCCUUAAAAUGUAACAAAUCGAUCUUUGUGCGUCACAAUGGAUGGCUAAUAAUUGAUAUAUAGACAAGGAUUUUCUAGCUCAUUGGCGGAUACUCCGCAAAAUCAUGGGGGCGGAGCACUGAGUUAUAAUAUUAGACAGAUUUAGAUCGAGGACGCGGACGUCAAAGACGACGUGAAAAUGGCGUGGCAUAUCCAUACAUGGGCACAACACGCCAUUUUCACGUCGUCUUUGACGUCCGCGUCCUCAAUCUAAAUCUGUCUAUUACUGGAGGAAGUGCUCGGCAUAAAAAGUAUCCGCAAAUACAUGGCGGAUUUUCGCAGUCCAAUUCGCACCAUAUGACGCCACUUCCAUGACAGCUGGUUCCUCAGGCUCAUGGAAUUACCACUGACCAAGCUCAAUUCUGGGUCCGCUACAAUAUAC
Non-coding RNA from Paramuricea clavata, 1533 nucleotides. NCBI's taxonomy places the organism in Eukaryota, Metazoa, Cnidaria, Anthozoa, Malacalcyonacea, Plexauridae. The record is from the annotation of a GenBank genome assembly.